This 925-nucleotide ribosomal RNA is filed under the name uncultured Bacteroidota bacterium. Its description in RNAcentral is "bacterial SSU rRNA". It matches the Rfam family "Bacterial small subunit ribosomal RNA", at positions 1 to 917 of the family's 1533-position model. The record is from RNAcentral. Lineage: Bacteria; Pseudomonadati; Bacteroidota.
UGGAUCCAGACUUUGAUUAUGGCUCAGGAUGAACGCUAGCUACAGGCUUAACACAUGCAAGUCGAGGGGCAGCAUAUCGGUAGCUUGCUACUGGUGAUGGCGACCGGCGCACGGGUGAGUAACGCGUAUCCAACCUUCCCAUGACUGGGGAAUAACCUUGCGAAAGUAAGACUAAUACCCCAUGGUUUCCGAGGCGGACAUCCAAUUUGGAAUAAAGAUUCAUCGGUCAUGGAUGGGGAUGCGUCUGAUUAGCUUGUUGGCGGGGUAACGGCCCACCAAGGCGACGAUCAGUAGGGGUUCUGAGAGGAAGGUCCCCCACAUUGGAACUGAGACACGGUCCAAACUCCUACGGGAGGCAGCAGUGAGGAAUAUUGGUCAAUGGACGAGAGUCUGAACCAGCCAAGUAGCGUGCAGGAUGACGGCCCUAUGGGUUGUAAACUGCUUUUAUACGGGAAUAAAGUCAAUCACGUGUGAUUGUUUGUAUGUACCGUAUGAAUAAGGACCGGCUAAUUCCGUGCCAGCAGCCGCGGUAAUACGGAAGGUCCGGGCGUUAUCCGGAUUUAUUGGGUUUAAAGGGAGCGUAGGCCGCCGAUUAAGCGUGUUGUGAAAUGCCGCAGCUCAACUGUGGCACUGCAGCGCGAACUGGUUGGCUUGAGUGCGCGGAAGGCAGGCGGAAUUUGUGGUGUAGCGGUGAAAUGCUUAGAUAUCACGAAGAACCCCGAUUGCGAAGGCAGCUUGCCGCAGCGUAACUGACGCUGAAGCUCGAAAGUGCGGGUAUCGAACAGGAUUAGAUACCCUGGUAGUCCGCACGGUAAACGAUGGAUGCCCGCUGUUCCGGCUAUAUGUUGGAGUGGCCAAGCGAAAGCGUUAAGCAUCCCACCUGGGGAGUACGCCGGCAACGGUGCAACUCAAAUGAAUUGACGGA